RNAcentral lists this ribosomal RNA (917 nucleotides) under Clostridium sp. RNAcentral describes it as "partial 16S ribosomal RNA". It matches the Rfam family "Bacterial small subunit ribosomal RNA", at positions 1 to 880 of the family's 1533-position model. The record is from RNAcentral. Lineage: Bacteria; Bacillati; Bacillota; Clostridia; Eubacteriales; Clostridiaceae.
AAUAAGUUUGAUUUCUUGGCUUCAGGACGAACGUCUGGGCGGCGUGCCUCAAUACAUGCAAGUCUAUCAGAUUUUUUUUUCCUGCCUCAGGGAUGAUCCCCGGAGAGGGUACAUAACGCAUACAAGUCGAGUGAUAUUUUGGGAGAGAGCGGCGCACGGGGGAGUAACGCGUGGGUACACGUGCCUAUGUACAGUAUAGAUAACAUUUUCGAAAGGUAUGAUAAUUGGGGAUCACUUAUGAGUGUCGCAUGGAUUUUGUAUCAAAGCAUUAGCGGUACUGGUAUGGACCCGCGUCUCAAAAGCUAGUUGGUAAGGUAAUGGCUUACCAAGGCAUCGAUCAGUAGGCGACCUGAGAGGGUGAUCGACCCCACUGGGAGGGAGCAGUGGUGCAGACUCGUCAAGGAGGCAGCAGUGGGGAAUAUUGCACAAUGGGAGAAAACAAGAUGCAGCAAUCCUGCGUGAGUGUUGAAGGCCUUCGGGUCGUAAAGAGUUGUCCUCAAGGAAGAUAACGGUGUUUCUUGAGGAGGAACCCCCGGCUAACGUGGCAGCAGCACCCGGUGGUAAUUAGUAGGGGGCUAGUGUUAUCCGGAAUUGGGGGUAAAAAAGGGUCAGUAGGUUUUUUUUUAAGUCAGAAGAAGCCCCCGGCGGCUCCGGGGUAGUAAGCUUUAAAACUAGAGAACGAGAGCAGAGGAGAGGAGAGUAGUAUUCACUAGUGUAGCGGUGAAAUGUGUAGAUAUGGGGAGGCACCACAGUAGAGAAGGCGUCUCUGGUCUGUGUAACUCACUGAGAGGCGAAAAAGCGUGGGGAGCACACAGGAUUAGAUACCGUGGUAGUCACACGCCGUAAACGAAGAGUAAUAGGUUCGGGGGUUACCCCCCUCGGUGCCGCAGCUAACGCAUAAGACUCCGCCGGGAGGG